GGUAAUAUAUUUUAUUUAGAAUACUUAGUUUGCAUCUAAGAGGAAGCUUAAACUUAUUACCA
RNAcentral lists this transfer RNA (62 nucleotides) under Biomphalaria tenagophila. RNAcentral's name for it is "tRNA-Ala". The record is from RNAcentral. Lineage: Eukaryota; Metazoa; Mollusca; Gastropoda; Planorbidae.